UCGAAAUUCCAAACUGUCGUUCUGCUGCUUAAUUUGUAUUACUUGUAAGGUUACCUAUUUUUAUUUUAUGUCUUCACGAUGUUGUAUCUCUAUGAUUGAUAUUCUUCAUUAUUUGUCAUAAUGUUAAUUCAUUGCUAUUAUAAACAUUGACAAAAAUUUGCUAAUGUUCUAGUCUCCCAAUAAAGAUUAAUUAACGAUUUAACAUAAUUUUAAAGCAGUGUCUCUACUUGCCCCACUUCAUAGUGACUACUCUGUGUAGUGGGGUACAAAGAAGUUUAUUUAAAGAGGUUCCAACUAAAAAUUAACUGAGAAGGUACAUAAAGAAAAUGUAUAUUUUCCUUCCCGAAGCAUUAUACGCGUGGACAAAUGAUACCUCUUUCUGCUCCAUUUUCCUAGCGUUUCGCGUAAUAUCGCACGUCCGAAAUUCGUGUCGUCAACUAAAAGGAAGCAAAGUACCGCGACGUCGAAAUUGCGUCGAAGCGACACGUCCGCUCGCGGAUUACAUACCUACGCUACCACGAGCAGUGUAAACGAAACGUGUGAAUAUUAAGUGACUAUAGUGUUGCAUAACGCGCCACGACAUCGUUUGAUAAUGAUAAAAUUCUAUUUUUGCGCCGCGUUCGGCGCUCGUCAGUUUCGCUAUCGAUACGCUUCGAUUCGCGUCGUUUUGUGCUAUCCACGUAAAUUCAUCUCCAGCUAACAGCGUUGCUCUAUCGAUCCUUUUUUUUUUUUUUUAAGUAAGUGGAAUGAACGAUCAACCGAUUAUUAACAUAAAGAGUGAUACAUUAAACGUAUUUAAGGUUUUUAAUCGAAGGUCUGUCGACUGAUUAUAGCUUAGACCACAUUGUGCUUCGAUACGUUUCCACAAAAAUAAUCAAAAGUAAUACAAGUCAUUUAGUUGUUAUCGAAUGAAGCUUUUUAUCCACGAUGGAAGGAUACUUUGAACACGUGUGGUACGAGAGAUGAAUAUCAGAGGACGGGAUGACACUAUACACAUCUACGAUAUAAUUAUUACGUAAUCUGUGGUAUACUUCUCGCGAUUGACAAAUCCAUGUGGAUUAAUACACAGCAAGAGGAUGACGAUGCGUACAGCGGGAAAAGUUGAUGCUACGCAUAGAUUCUUUGCACAUGUAGUAAAUACCAAUUCGAAAAGAACGCGUCCGUUUAACGGGGAGCGCAAAUGGGCGCACAAGUGAAUCGGAGCUAACGACGAGGAGACGUAAAAGCGAAAGAUACUGGAAUGCAUGUAGCGGCUUGUCGCUGUGCUCGCAGAGGGGCCACCUGUUUGGGAGCUAACGAUGUUGCUGCUUAGCAGUGGUAUAGCGGUCAACAAAGGGGUUAAGCAUCGACGUUCGAAAUAAUUAAGUUCAUUAAACGUCUCUGCUGGUACGGUCAUUCCACCGAGUCGCUUUUGAACGGCGCAUGAUGAAAAGCUAUUGUUUGGCCGUCGGCUAUGCCGAGCAUCUCUCUCCUGGACAAUAUUUAUCGUAACAACCUUUGCCCCGUAGCUCGGAACGAUUUUUAUUUUCUCGGAUUACGAACGUUCGCGACUCGGACUGACGCGAUCAAGAAAUUUCAUGACGACGUGCGAUUCCUUCCGUCGACGCAGAACACUGUACAGUGCUUCGUUUCGCGCGUGGCGUCGUUUUUUAUUUUUUCAUUUUUACUCGUGCCUAAUAAGAGCUCUCCGAACGAGAAAACCGAGACGGUUGGUAAUCGAUCUAUCAUCCAUUCUCCCCUACUUCGAGCAGGAUCGCCCGGUGCAACCAUAAAUUAAUGUUUUAAUAAAAUUGAUUAAAGGAAAAUCGAGAAGAAAUUAAUCUCACUUUUUUAUGUAGACUUUAAUUCCCUUUGACGUUAAUUAACACUAGCAAACGAUCGGUUUUAAAAUUUGAUUCGACGCUAUGCACUAAUCUCGUUUUGAAAAACUAAAAAUAUAGUUACGUUAUAAAAAUUAAACAAUUACUCCGACGGAAGUCAAGGCUUAAGAAUUCAGCGUAACAUAAUGCAUGUGGUCAGCAAAUGGAGGAAAAAUGAUAAACGUUCUUCUUGCCCGCGUGUAAAGUGCGCGAUAAAAACCGUGACAAGGAUCGUAAAUUAACGAUCGAAACGUUUAUGUGAAAAUAAACUGUGUCCACGCUAUAAACUAGCGAUAUUGUGCUACUUUCACAUUCAAAUUCAAUGUAAAGAAUUCAUUACACGGUAAUAAAAAUGUUAUAUUUAGGAAAUAGAUAGUAGAAAGAGGGUUUCAAUUGCUUUCUCGCAUUUCUAUCGACUCGUGCUGUUUGUGUUUUCGUUGACUCUUGCGCAAUCGUUGCCAAAAAUUGUACACAAACAGAGAUAAAGCCUGGAACGAAAUUCACCGAUACACCGAUAGUAAAUGGAGAGUACUCCAACUCUGAACAAUAUGUGUUUUACAUAUUCAUUGUGUUAUACAUAACACGAUCGUUUGCUGUUCGCACUCAGAAAAUCGUUGUAAUUUGAUGCCUCGAAAACCAAACUUUACACUCUGUGUGUUUCUCACUCCGUGGAAUACAAAAGCCGAUUUCUUUAUUGAUUAUUCUCAGAAAUAGUAUUUCAGGGGAAGGAUAAUAAAUGAUACAUUCAUUACGAGCGGAUUACAAGUAGUAUAAAUAUCCUCCUCGGAAAAUAAAAAACUAAAAAUACUCAGAGGUACAACAGUCUCCUGACGAUGACUCAGCUAACAACAGGCGCAAUGUUGCGGUAUACUUCUUACGAAUCCGGGGAACUCAAAUCAUUUUUCGAAAUAUCGAUAACUAAAAGAGACGACGGGAAAGCGUGAAACUUUAAAAUCGAAAUUUAAUAACCAGAAGAUUCAUACUCGUCUACGAAUCGCGAUCCGACGGGCCGAAGAUUCGACGCGGGAAAGCUUCGAUGGAAAUUUUCCUCUGCGCUUCUCUUAUCUGCUCGUUAAGUAAACUGUUAAUGGUUAGAGUACGGUGGACCCCGGCACGAUACAUACAUCGGCCGUCGUCGCUCUAGUAAUUUCUCGGGAUACAAGACACGGUCGCGCGAGCUCGGCUCCGUUUGCUUUUAUACGUCAGAGAUUCGUGUAUCAGAGCCAAGCGACGAAAAUACGACGUCGCUUCGAUACGCUGAUUACCGGGGGCAAAUAAUACAGCAGACUAUUCUCGCGAUUUGAGCAGUGUACCGUGAGUUCUUUUUUUUUUUUCUUUUCUUUUCUUCACUCACGACUACCGUAAACACGAUGCCUCUGACCGAACGAGAAAAAAAGGCGACGGUGGUGACAUUGUCCGUCGUAGUGAUACGACUGUUUCGCUACUUCGAUUUCGCGAUCGUGAGACGCAGAAGAGACGUCAACAACGCGCUUGGUUCCGUAAAUACACGGUAGGAUCGUCCGCACGGUCGCGCGUGACAAAGAAAUCGAAGAUUUCCAUCACAAGGCGCGUGUCACGCGUCGAAAAUUCGUCGCGGGAGCAUCGCGAGUCGUCGUGUCGCCGCGAUGCACUUUAAUCGACUGGAUUUACGGCUUUUCGUGUUCGCUAUCGUUCCGACGGUUGUUGUUCCGCGCGUGUACGUAAAAGAGAUCGCGAUGGGCGCCCUUCUUAUCGCCAAGAAAUCGACCUUUCCGACCGGGGGGGAUACGCAUCGUUCGGCGUGAUCACGGCUCAGCCGUCGCUACCGACGCGUGUACAUCGAGUGACAACCGAGAAUUUUUGUCAUAGGAAUUUCCUCGGAGCAGUUGGCGUACGUCCAAUCGUUCGAUCUAGCGAACAGCCUGCUAGAAAACGUCCUCCUAUUUGCUCGUGUGUACCGCACAACUAUUCUCGCCGGUUCUCUCUCGGGAGAGAGCGAGUGGUGCGUCGACCGACGACGCUUGGGUCGACGGACAGAGAAAGAGAGUGGGUACGGAGGAAGAACACAGGAAAGCAAAGAAAGAAGGGAGGAGGAGGAGGAG
Molecule: long non-coding RNA, 3940 nt
Organism: Hylaeus volcanicus
Lineage: Eukaryota; Metazoa; Arthropoda; Insecta; Hymenoptera; Colletidae
Exons: 3
Source: RefSeq, a predicted model, not a curated record